RNAcentral lists this unclassified non-coding RNA (928 nucleotides) under Hevea brasiliensis (rubber tree). The record is from RNAcentral. Lineage: Eukaryota; Viridiplantae; Streptophyta; Magnoliopsida; Malpighiales; Euphorbiaceae.
UAUCAGAGAGAUUUCACCACGAUAACAGGAAACAAGAAAUGGUACUGAUCUGUCUGGAUUUUAAUCCAGAACCAAAAAACUAAGUAGAACUGAUCUUCGUGUUGUCCUUUCUCAUUCCAACUGUCUCUCCAUCAAUUCUAUCUAGCGACAUCCCAUUGGAAUUCAAGAAACUAGGCUGAUUUGUAGAUGCAAGCAGUCUAGCCCACAUCCUAUCUGUCAACUUCACUGUGUUUUGUGCCUCAGUCACACGCUGCAAUACAGUACCAUGCCAUUAAUUUAGAUGUCCAAUCAGAAGGUAAAUUAAAAAACCUCCCCAACAUUUGGCAAAAUAUUCACUUGAAUACUAAUUUUUUCAAAUUGAAUCAUGUAAUCCUUGUUUCCACAGGCCUCAAAAUAUAUCGUGCCAUUGAAAAUAAUGUUAUGUAUUUUGGUAGUUUUAACUGCUUAAAAUUGGAAUCCUAGGAGCUUUCAGCCAUUGUGGGAGCAUUGCUUAUCUGAAGCCCCAUUUUCAGCAUUUUGUGAUGAAAUAUGAAUCAUAUCAUCAAUAAGGUAUUGUACGAGUUGAGUAGUUAAGAAAAGAAUAGCCAUGUUAUAGACAGUGACCAUGAUGCAAAGUGGUUAGCACUGCUGAAAACUGGGAGUCCAGUAACGGUUUAUUCUAGUUGCCAUUAUCUAUAUGAAGAGAUUCCAUGUGAAAAAGCUUAUCAGAGUCCCUAUUCUGGUGCAAGGGAAACUUCAUAGUAUUUUCAUACUCUUUUUGAUACUGAAAAUAACAGAUUUUGGUCCUCAUCAAGUUUUGAUUGAUCGGUGCACAAUCAUAAAAUGUAGAACAACCCAACUUUUCAUCCUUUAAAACAAGGUUAAAUUGGCGAGUAAAAUUAUGUUCAUAUGAAGUCAAUAUAGGAUUGACAGAAACUGAGAAAUGAGA